CCUACGGGGGGCAGCAGUGGGGAAUAUUGCGCAAUGGGCGAAAGCCUGACGCAGCGACGCCGCGUGGGUGAUGACGGCCUUCGGGUUGUAAAGCCCUGUCGGGUGGAACGAACGAUCUGGCGGCGAAUAACCGCCGGGUGUGACGGUACCACCGAAGGAAGCCCCGGCUAACUACGUGCCAGCAGCCGCGGUAAGACGUACGGGGCGAGCGUUGUUAGGAUGCGCUGGGCGGGAAGGGCGCGUAGGCGGCGAAAUCUCGCGGCUUAACCGAGGUACCGCAUCCGAUACUGUCUGGCUCGAGUCUAGGAGAUGAAAGCGGAAUUCCCAGUGUAGCGGUGAAAUGCGUAGAUAUUGGGAGGAACACCGGUGGCGAAGGCGGCUUUCCGGACUAGUACUGACGCUGAGGCGCGAAAGCUAGGGGAGCGAACGGGAUUAGAUACCCUAGUAGUC
RNAcentral lists this ribosomal RNA (450 nucleotides) under uncultured bacterium. RNAcentral describes it as "partial 16S ribosomal RNA". It matches the Rfam family "Bacterial small subunit ribosomal RNA", at positions 338 to 795 of the family's 1533-position model. The record is from RNAcentral.